GACGGAGGGGGCAAGCGUUGUUCGGAAUUAUUGGGCGUAAAGGGCUCGUAGGCGGGCUGGCAGGUCCGGCGUGAAAUCUCCACCGCUCAACGGGGAGGGGUCGCCAGAAACCGCCAGCCUCCGAGGGAGGCAGAGGGCCGCGGAAUUCCGGGUGUAGCGGUGGAAUGCGUAGAGAUCCGGAAGAACACCAGUGGCGAAGGCGGCGGCCUGGGCCUUAUACCUGACGCUGAGGAGCGAAAGCCAGGGGAGC
RNAcentral lists this ribosomal RNA (250 nucleotides) under uncultured bacterium. RNAcentral's name for it is "partial 16S ribosomal RNA". It matches the Rfam family "Bacterial small subunit ribosomal RNA", at positions 524 to 769 of the family's 1533-position model. The record is from RNAcentral.